Small nucleolar RNA from Chelmon rostratus (copperband butterflyfish), 151 nucleotides. The record is from RefSeq and is a predicted model, not a curated record. Lineage: Eukaryota; Metazoa; Chordata; Actinopteri; Chaetodontiformes; Chaetodontidae.
CUUCAGUGACGAUCCGAUGACGAGUCGGAACAGGACUCUGAUCUGGUUCUGGUGGUUCCUGGUGCAGAGUCACGUUCUGUGGUUUUGCUCCAGUUCCUCAGAGCAGGGAGUCCUUUACAGUUGAAGACAUCGAGGCAUUUGUCUGAGAAGG